UACCAGCACCCCGAGUGGUCGGGACGUUUAUUGGGCCUAAAGCAUCCGUAGCCGGUUCUACAAGUCUUCCGUUAAAUCCAACUGCUCAACAGGUGGGCUGCGGAGGAUACUACAGAGCUAGGAGGCAGGAGAGGCAAGCGGUACUCAGUGGGUAGGGGUAAAAUCCUCUGAUCCAUUGAAGACCACCAGUGGCGAAGGCGGCUUGCCAAUACGCGCUCGACGGUGAGGGAUGAAAGCUGGGGGAGCAAACCGG
RNAcentral lists this ribosomal RNA (253 nucleotides) under uncultured bacterium. Its description in RNAcentral is "partial 16S ribosomal RNA". It matches the Rfam family "Archaeal small subunit ribosomal RNA", at positions 474 to 727 of the family's 1478-position model. The record is from RNAcentral.